This 781-nucleotide ribosomal RNA is filed under the name Micromonospora saelicesensis. RNAcentral describes it as "bacterial SSU rRNA". It matches the Rfam family "Bacterial small subunit ribosomal RNA", at positions 59 to 857 of the family's 1533-position model. The record is from RNAcentral. Lineage: Bacteria; Bacillati; Actinomycetota; Actinomycetes; Micromonosporales; Micromonosporaceae.
CAGUCGAGCGGAAGGCCCUUCGGGGUACUCGAGCGGCGAACGGGUGAGUAACACGUGAGCAACCUGCCCCAAGCUUUGGGAUAACCCUCGGAAACGGGGGCUAAUACCGAAUAUUACUUCUGGCCGCAUGGCUGGUGGUGGAAAGUUUUUCGGCUUGGGAUGGGCUCGCGGCCUAUCAGCUUGUUGGUGGGGUGAUGGCCUACCAAGGCGACGACGGGUAGCCGGCCUGAGAGGGCGACCGGCCACACUGGGACUGAGACACGGCCCAGACUCCUACGGGAGGCAGCAGUGGGGAAUAUUGCACAAUGGGCGGAAGCCUGAUGCAGCGACGCCGCGUGAGGGAUGACGGCCUUCGGGUUGUAAACCUCUUUCAGCAGGGACGAAGCGAGAGUGACGGUACCUGCAGAAGAAGCACCGGCCAACUACGUGCCAGCAGCCGCGGUAAGACGUAGGGUGCGAGCGUUGUCCGGAUUUAUUGGGCGUAAAGAGCUCGUAGGCGGCUUGUCGCGUCGACCGUGAAAACUUGGGGCUCAACCCCAAGCCUGCGGUCGAUACGGGCAGGCUAGAGUUCGGUAGGGGAGACUGGAAUUCCUGGUGUAGCGGUGAAAUGCGCAGAUAUCAGGAGGAACACCGGUGGCGAAGGCGGGUCUCUGGGCCGAUACUGACGCUGAGGAGCGAAAGCGUGGGGAGCGAACAGGAUUAGAUACCCUGGUAGUCCACGCUGUAAACGUUGGGCGCUAGGUGUGGGGGGCCUCUCCGGUUCCCUGUGCCGCAGCUAACG